Manis javanica (Malayan pangolin) is the source of this 7983-nucleotide long non-coding RNA. RefSeq lists it as uncharacterized. The record is from RefSeq and is a predicted model, not a curated record. Lineage: Eukaryota; Metazoa; Chordata; Mammalia; Pholidota; Manidae.
UUGAUUGAUUGAUUUUUUAAGACUGCUUUGUCGCUUCCAAGUUUACACACAUGGACACGUAUGCUUUUAUAGACAAUCCAUCUGUCCAGGUUAUAAAAGGCAACAUAGUGUGACAGUUAAGUACACAACUUUAAACCAGAAUGUCAGUGUUUGAAUUCCUCAGCUCAUCCUCUGAUUUCAGCUACAUAUUCCUAAGCAAGUUAUUGACUGUUUCUCUGCUUCAGUUUCAUCAUCUGUAAAAUGGGGAUAAUCAUAUUUUUCUCAUGCUCUUGGAUGGAGUUUAAAUUCAUUUAGUCCGAAUGAAGCACUUAGAACAGAAAGCAUAUCAUAAACACAUGGCAUUUAACUCUGAGCAUUAUUCCAUCCUCAACAUGGCCGUUUAAGGGAACAAGCUAAGAAAUUAAUAGGUAUAUAAUUGGGUGUUCACUGUGUCUCAGGCACGGUACUAAGCACUCUAUGCUUAGAUUACCCAAGUUUAAAUAUAUUUCUGCAAUUAUAGGCUGUGGAAAGUGAAGAAAAUUAGGCAGCUUAAACAAUUUUUUCAUCUACAAAGUGGGCAUAAACUAUAUCUGAGAUCAUAUAAAGUGCUAGGCAAAAUUUACUAUACGGUGAUUAUGGUUGUAAUUGUUGUUAAAUUAUCAUUGUUGUUAUUAUUACUAAUGGCAAUUUAUUGCCUUAAGAGUGAGAAGAGAUGGUGCUCACCCACAGACAAGCGCAGGCCUCCAGGUAGUGAGACGCCCUGUCCUGCUCGGUGGGUCUGCUGGAACAUGUGCUCUUCGCUGGGGCGACCACCGUUAGCCAGCCUCCCGCAACAACGGCAGCAAUCAGAGGACGCAGCCUAUCUCUUAAAACAACGUCUUUAUUUCAAUGGGAGGGAUGGUCUUAACUUUUCCAAACCUUAGAGAGCCUUAAAUUUUUGAUUAGAUAGCCAGAGAAAUUAAGUUUAAGGCCAGUUAGUUCAUUUUAGUAACAGGCAGGGUGGGGAAAGAAAGAAGGCAAGUUAAAAACAAUGCUCUGUAACCUUGUGCAUGUAGAUGACUGACGGCUGCUUUUCCACGGACGAGCGUUUCCUGAGCCCUGUCCCCUCCCACCCUCCGGGUGCUGUGGGACUGUGCACUAUAAUGGGCCACAUUUAAAGAGGAGCUCCUGGUUCUUUUGUAGUGGUUGCUGUUACUUAUUUAUUUAUUCCUUCCAGGAACAAUAUAAGGGUCUCCAAUUAGUCACAGGUGCAAAUAUUAUGCAUGCAAUUAAUUGUCUUCAAAUGGUUAAUUAUGGGCAGAAUUGGCUAAUUCGGGGUGCAAUUAACUAUGUGCCACUUCUUCAGAGAAUGCCCGUAGACAAUUGUGUCUGCAAUUAAUUUACAAGAGCCAUUACAGCAAAAACCUUGUACUAUAAAUUCAAGAAUAGAGUGGGAGAAUUUUUUCGAAGCAGGAUUUCACUCUGGGUUAAUUGCAUUGACUCUUUCCUUUGGCUUUUCUAGGCAGGUUGACUGUAAAUGGGGUUUCUGCGGGUUGCUUCUGUGAUGUGAUAGCCCUACUCGCCAUGAGAACGCAGGCAGGAGCAGAGCGGCUACUGGACACCCAGGAGACGCACGGCCCUGCUGUCAGGCCUGCAGGGCUGCGCCGUGGACGUUGCUGCAGUGAGCGAUGUUCUACAUGCUUUGUGCUUAUUUGUUUUGUCUGUUUGACUUUUUUUUCUGUACCUUUUCUGGCACAACAAUGCAGAAGCAGGAAUCCUCACCUUGCUCACCAAGUUCAAUGUCUUUACUAAACGUUAAACUUUAAAGCCAUCUUGUUAAUACAUUUAUUAACUGUUACCAACAAACAGAUCUUAUAAGCAAUCACAGUAGAGUUUUAAAAUUUAUUAACUUCUUUUUAUAGGCCAACCACUGAGCUAAAUACUGUGAUUACAUUAUCUUGUUUAACUCUUAAAAUGAUUCCCCAUUUUUGCUUUUAAACUCGAAAAAGUUUUAGUGACUCGCAGAUCAAUGGUGGAGCUGAGACAAAGGUGUGUCUGUGCCACUCCAAGCCCUGCAUCUUCACAGCCAUGCCUUGCAGGGGCUUUGGACCUGGAAGGACACUUAGCUACCAUCCCCUCCACCCUGUCACUGGACACACGGGGGUCCCAUGGUGCACACAGCAAACUGAGGACAAUCCAAGCUUGGAAACCCAAAUUUGUGCCCCACCCCAGUCCAACGUUGUUCUAACUACGGGUGCUGCCAAAGGAAAAUUCCGUGGAGUCAGUGCGCCCAUUAGCUCUCCGUCGCAAUGCAGGACGGUGUUCCUGCGCAGUCUGCAGCGUUCCCAGGUCUGCGCGCAGGCGGCUGGCUGGAGAUGACCUCUGGCUGCACAUGCCCCGAGGACCGCACACGGGCCUCCAGCGGGGGGCGCUUACAGUGGCCGUGAUUUCACUGGGCGGAACAAACGUUCCUGAGCAGCGGUUCUUCACGUCUUGUUUCUUAAACACCUGGACAGGGCUGGUAAGCAAAGGCGACAAGCUUUCUCUGCUCCAAUGUUCCCACUUGCGGCCCAGGGCAGCCUACAAGCCCAGUGAUCUGCUGUGGCAGGUGUUGCUCGGCUCCUGGGCAGAGAUUCUGGACCACACGGGGCUUCACCACGUUGUUGGAAGGAGGAAGAAAUGUGUCAGAGACGGCAAAGGCGGAGUAGACCCAUUCGGUGGCUGGGGGCCUGCUCAGGUGUUGGGGUCCUCUGCAGUCGGCUGGAGCACGCGACCUAAGGCCUGGGCUAUGCAGGUCUGCCCGCGUGGGAGGGGGACAGCACAGAAAUGACAAAAGCCCUUCCCUCUCAGCUUCUCUUGGAGUCUAAGCUGCUUUUCAUAAGACAAGUCAGCAAAGGGAAAGAGGAAGAAAAAGGAAUCUACCAAAAUGUAUGCAUCUGCUGUAUGUCAGGCCCUCCACACAUGUUAUUAUCUUAGAGGCUUUCCAACUGCCUUGCAGGAGAGGAGAGGUUUAUUGCCAUUUCGUUCAGGGAUAGUUAAACCAGGCUGCCCACAUCGCACACCAUGCCAGGCAGAGAGAGCUGGGCUGGAGGCUCCAUUGGGCUGCCCAUAGGGAUGGCCAAGGCCAUGUGUGCCCUUGUGUGAUCUGUCGCAUCCCAGAGACUUCCUGCAAGACAGCUUUGAGUGAGUCUGAGUUCUCACAAAUUUGAGGAUGAUCGGUAAGUCUAAGACUUUUUCCUCCUUGAAUGUGGCUUUGUUUUACUCCCAGACAGGUGUGGUGUGGGGAAGAAUCUCAUAUUUAUGUCAGUAUUGCGUGAUCACUUGACAGACCGUCAGGGCUGAUGCUGUCUGUGCGAGAGGCACUGUGAUGCGGCCAGACCACCAAGGACGGUCCUGCUGGGCAGGCUGGGGUCAUCAGAGGCAUGGAGCCCCUUGCAUCUGAUCUUCUACUCACCACUUCAGCACCUGAUUUCUUCUUUCUACCUUGGGUUAUGGCCACACUCUUGAAUGUUUGAUUUCUGAUUCUGAUUUACACCCCUAACAGCAAUGAAGAGUCAGUACUGCGCAUGCCCCUGACUUCCGAAUCUCAGUCAUGCUGUGACAGCUCACCAUCGCCUCCUGUUCUGAGCCUAGAUCUGUCCCCCCAGCCCAUUCGCUCCUUCUCUGCCUAGUCUUGCCACCCACCCCCUGGUGUGACAGAUACCAUAUCUGUCUUUAUCAAUGUGUGAUCCACAGUGUGCAUCCAUAGUGUAAUUAACACUGGUCAUCCCUCGCCGUGGAAGGUAGAAAAGGCAUCAGAGGCUAAGAAAUUGGGUUUUAAAAAGAAACAAGAGAAAAAAAAAAAAGGUUUCUGAAAGAAAAGACUUGUCAAGGCAAUUUCUUACAAGAGCAAACCCUUCAUCAGAAAUCAAGUUAGAUCUCAUUUUGAAGGAGUGGAUAGAUGUCUCCCCGUAUUUCUUAUUGUCAUAUCAUAUAUGACACAUAUAGAUGAGAGUGAUUGUUUUCAAUCCCACUUAUAUUAGAAAGGAACUAACAAAAUGAGUAAAAUCAAAUGUAAUUAGUUUUACCUAAAUUGCAGGUUUUCAGAGCAAUUAAUAAAACUGAAAGUUGAAAGCUGCUUGUUAAGCAAAUCAAAGAUCAAGGAAUGUAUUUCCUCUAUUGAAUGUCACUCCUGUGUAAACCAACCUACACAAAUCAUUUUCAUGUUUGAAAUAUAGCGCAUGUGUAAUUGGAAUAUUCAGCAGUGGCAGUAACUUGGGCGAUUCCCGCAUUGCCCAGACAGGACUCAGGUGUGGGGGUCAGGCGGACCCCGUCAGAGUCUGAGCUCAGCCCUGCACUGGCCCCGGAGUGCGACUGCUUACAUCACCAUAGAAGCUCCCCCUCCCCUCCAUAAAGCUGGCAUUAACGUGCCCGGCAGGGUAGUGGGAGUUCUCGGGACGGCACGUGCAAAGUUCUCAGCAAGUUGCCUUUCACUUAGCUUCAGUCCAAUAUGUGCUGUUUACUGCUAUUAUUUUAUUCAGUGCUGUGACUUAAAUAUAACUUCCAGAUUAUUUGUGAGCUAAUUAUUUGCUGAGGCCAGCCAGUCAUUCUGCCUUUUUCAGAAUGUGUGUGUCCUUCCGUGGGACCAUGCAUGUGUGUCUGUCCCCACCCAGGGCUCUGGGCGGUGGUGGGGGGCAGGAUAUUGUGGUCCCUUCCCUUGUUUGAGCCCCUAUUUCAUCCGUGAGAUGGAUGGUCCCUUGGCUUUUCCUAAGGAGAAUAAGAAGCUGUUGAGAAGGGUCCUAUGACAAAGGCCCACUGUUCCCAAGAAGUAUACCCCUGGAAGUCCUUCCAAAAGCUUUCUGGAAAUAUUUUCCCUGCACAUAUCCACCUGGUUUGGAACCCAGGAUGACUUUCCAGGGAGGUCUCUUUAUGGGACCCAAGCCCAGAGGACAGUAGGGCUUCUGAGAUGGGAUGCACAUCUCUGAGCACAGGUGCAUCAGUCUCCCCUGACAGUGGCUCAUGUUGGUGUGACCUGAGUUGAUCUCACAGCACCCUUGUAAGGACAAGGUGCAUGUGAUACUGUGAUUUAUAAUAAGAAAUACAUAUUUAUCCUCCAUCCCCCUUUGUGGCACAGAGUUCCUAAAACCCUUGGAACUUCCGAAGUGAGGAGACUGAUAAAGCUGUCUUACGUUGUUGAUGGGGUGCUUUGGGAAAGUACCUAAGGAUGGGGGCUGGGUCCCAGGAGAACAGCCAUGUGAUCAGAGAGUUGAGCCUUUCACUCUCACCCCUGACCUGUGGGGAAGGGGAGAGGCUGCAGGUUGAAUGGACGGUCAGUAGCCAAGGGGUUAAUUAAUUAUGCCCAAAUAAUGAAGUCUUCCUUAGAACCCCAAAAUACAGUGUAUGGAGAGCUUCCAGAAUGAUGAAACAUGGAAAUCUGGGAAGAAUGGCAGGCUUAGAGAACAUAGAAGCUGUUGCCCUGUGCAUCUCUUCCACCCAGCUGUUCCUGAGUUAUAUCCUUUUAUAAUAAACCAGCAAUCUGAGGAAAAUGUUUCUCUGAGUCUGUGUAGCAAAUUAAUGAAACCCACAUUGGAAACUCUGAUCUAUAGCCAGUUGGUCAGAAGCGCAGGAGACCACCUGAGCUUGCAGCUAGAGUCUGGAGUGGGGAGGGGAGGGCAGCACUGUGGGGCCAGGCCUUACCUGCAGGGUCUGGUGCUCUCUCCAGGGAGAUAGUGUCAGAACCGAGUUGAAUUUUAGGACACCCAGGUGGUGUCUGAGGAUUGCUCUGUGGUGUGGAAAAAGCCUCAACGCAUUGGGAUUGGCGGUCAGAAUUAUGAACACGUAUCAUCGUGCCCCUUAGCAGAUGGAGACACGGACACCCAGAGCCUCCAAAAUUCCACAGGUCCACUGGUCCAGGUAUCAACUGAUGUGUGGUCCUCUGUUGAGAAACUGAGGUCUCCAGGAAGAAGGAACAAAGAGAUGCUGUAACUGACUUUCCAACAAGAAUAAUGAAAACACAACUCCAGAAAGGAGCAAAGAUUUUCCCUGGAAUCUCCCCAAAGGAGGCAAAUGGUGGAGAGAGAAUGGAGAAUGGAGAAUGUAUCACAUCUGUGCGAAGAAGCCCACGUUGCUCUGCUCUGCAAAUUCAAUGUGGAGAAGCUCCUAUAACCUGGGUGCACAGCCACAUCCGUUUGUCCCGUCCACCAUGCGGUGCUUUCCUUCAUAUUCUCUGCUGCUUUGCCGAAAUACAAGAAUGCACCUCCCCCUCACUUGUUUUAACCAAGACAGUGAUAUUGUUCAAAAAAAUAUAAAUCUUCAAAAGAUUUUGGUCGCUGUGCUCACGGGUCUAUUUCAAAUAAAACAUUUACAUGAAUGUAUCUUUUUAUGUUAAUAUGCACAUCGGAUUAGAACUAAUUUUCAACCAUUCUUUGGCAGCAUGUCCACAAUAAAUGAGACUUGGUUUAAAAGACGUAAACUCUACCCCCUCUCCAGGGGUGCUGAUUCUUCAUUUCUUCAGCCCACCAUUUGUCCUCACAGCAUGCACCUGAGAGUUCCAGGUCUGACCACCUGUUUCUGAAAUCAGAGGAACUCUGACUGGGCUGCACUGUCCCUCAUCCGCCAUGAAUGGAUCUGUGCUGAGCACCUACUGUGUGACAUGGUGGCACUAGGACAGGUCCGGAGCUGGCAGAGCAGCCAUGCCGCUGAGAAGCCUUGAGAAGUUACCACCUGCCCCCGGAACAGUGGCAUCUAUGACUCUUGAUGCAGCGAUUUCUCCAAUGCUAAGGAAGAUUCAAAACUGUAUCUCCAGCCAGCGGGUUGAGGGGAUGUCGCCUGGUGCUCAAGAUCUCCAGAGUCAGCAAAAUAAGCACAUUUAUUGUGACUUGCUUAUAUUCACUCAAAUGAAAAAGAAAUCAUAGACCCUGAACAUAGAUACGUGUAGAAACAGUUGAAAAGAAAAUCAUUGACCCCUGACCCAAGCAGUGCAAAUUUUUAUGCCAAAACCAAACAUUUUUUAUCCCACCUCGCCUCUCUGUCCCUCUUUCUACAUCUAUACCUAGAUGCACACACACCACACACACCGCACACACCACACACACACAUUUCCAGUAGCUGUGGAAAUAUGUCAGGAUAAGUAUACAGUCUUUUUACUUGAUUUACAACAUUUAUACAAACCAAUACAAACCAACUGAUGUGAUUCAACUCUAGGACUAGAAUAUGAGACCCUCUGGAAAUGCAAAAGUAAGGGUGGCUAGAAAUCCCACAAAUACUCUGUGUCACACACUAGCUCUGCGGGGUUGCACUCCACGCCCUCUCCUGCCCCACCCACCACCCCUGCUUUGUAUUAUCUUUUAGCUUUAGUAUUUUCACAUAUUUUACACCAGUGGACCUUGAUGAAUUUAAGCUUGGGCAUUGUACAGAUUCCAGAUUUCAAAUGAAUGACUCUUUCAUUUAGUUAAUAGCUGCAGCAGAGCCAUAAAAUGGUAAUAGUUUAUGACUUUCAGGAUAUAACCCUCAACCACUGACAAUAUAAAUUAUAUUACACUGCACUUUACGGCCGUAUGAAGCACACGCAGGACUCACUGUAGGUGUGAAGUCUGGGAAGUGGAGGGUGUAGGUGGGAUGAAUUGUUUAUUUUUUUACUCGUCUGCUGAAAACACCUUCGUCCUGUGUCCCAGCAACCUGUCUGUCUGAUUGCAGGCAUCCACACCACCGUGCUGAGUGAAACUGUGACCACAAAAGAAAACUAUCAAUAAAGAAUCAAGGUGGACAUUUUCAUGCCUUCAUCAACUUGCACUGUUACUUCAACACAAAUGGAAAAACAUGCCUUUCCUUCUGCAGGCAUCGAUAGCUAUUCUCAAGUUGGCAAAUGCAUUAGGAAUGUGAGAUGUGGAAGAGGGUGUGGGACUGCACGGUGGCCUGACUACCCAUAUUUUUGUUUUGUUCUAUUAUCUAUUAAGAGGAGUCCGGAUAACGUUAUCCUUCAAUUGCACAUGUGGCUUCUAAGUCCUGUUUCUUGUCUAGGCUUAAGGUUAGGCCCCUGACCCACGA